RNAcentral lists this non-coding RNA (30 nucleotides) under Rattus norvegicus (Norway rat). The record is from RNAcentral. Lineage: Eukaryota; Metazoa; Chordata; Mammalia; Rodentia; Muridae.
UAUACUGGAAGAUCUUCUGGAGAAGGUGGU